UCUCCGUUGGUGAACCAGCGGAGGGAUCAUUACAGGACUCGCAAGACUCCUACAACCCUGUGAACUUAACUAUAAGCACGUUGCUUCGGCGGGUGUCUCGGAGGGGGUUCUCCCUCCCCGAGACGCUAAACCCGCCGGCAGCCUACUAUACUCCGUCUCUCUGCGUUGGCAUCUCGAGUACAAUCAAACAAGUUAAAACUUUCAACAACGGAUCUCUUGGUUCUG
Molecule: unclassified non-coding RNA, 225 nt
Filed under: plant metagenome
Description: partial contains small subunit ribosomal RNA, internal transcribed spacer 1, and 5.8S ribosomal RNA
Source: RNAcentral